This is a non-coding RNA of Paramuricea clavata, 929 nucleotides long. The record is from the annotation of a GenBank genome assembly. Lineage: Eukaryota; Metazoa; Cnidaria; Anthozoa; Malacalcyonacea; Plexauridae.
GAACUUUUUGCCUUGCUGGCAAAUGAUAUUUUAAAAGCUCUCAGGACAGCUGUUAUCUCACAAUAGGUAUUGUACAAUUCAAACACACAGAACAUAUUAAUUUGUAAUUCGUAUAAUAAAGUUAGUUACAUUGUUGCUAUGCAAUUCACAACUUUAAAUAUUCAUGCCUAGUUAGUGUUCUACAGUAGUUCACACAUAAAAUAGAACAGAGGUAACUAAGCAUUUGAUAAGCCCUAUACACUAUAAAAGUCAUUCAUUCAUUCAUGUAGCUAGAUAAUUCUAAAGCUUAGUUAUCUUUGCUCUACUCUAUGCUUCAGUACACCAGAACAAUGAUACUUAAGGCUGCAUUCCAGUUUCAUAGGUGCGUACACGUGCGUACACGCACGUAAAAGUUGAAUUCGCUUGAAAUUUCAUAUAAGUGCAAAUAACCUUAACAAAUACACAUUAAAUCAUACACAAAACUGAAUGCUGUCCUUUUAUAAAUUUAGUUAUUUCAUAACGCGUAACUGGAAUGCAGCCUUAAGGCAUGUGACUUAUGUAAAGUUGCGAAUUGGAUAUAACCAAACUUAGACAAAUUUGUUUAUUGUCUAUAGUCCGGGGACUUGUUUGAUGAACUUUGUUUUAAUUUUUCCUUGAAUCCCAUUUUUGACAAAAACAAUUUUAUUAUAUGAACACAUAAACUUAACAAACAAAUAGCAGUCUUAAUCUCAAUCGCAUGCAGCAUAAUAUGCAAUAGCCCCAGCGACUAACACUCAAUAGAGCGUCUUGUUAUUAUAAUAAAUAUAAUAGCAAAUAAGGCUUUAGCGGAGGGCAGCAAGGACAACUGCCCCCCCCCCCGCCCCCGCCGAGAAAAUGUAACUAAUUUUAUAUAAAUUUGAUUCUGAUUGUAACAUAAUUAUGCAGUCAAGAAAUAAAGAUGUCAUGCAAAC